This is a long non-coding RNA of Bubalus bubalis (water buffalo), 1195 nucleotides long. RefSeq lists it as uncharacterized. The transcript is spliced from 3 exons. NCBI's taxonomy places the organism in Eukaryota, Metazoa, Chordata, Mammalia, Artiodactyla, Bovidae. The record is from RefSeq and is a predicted model, not a curated record.
UAUUUAAGCCACAAAUGCUGGGCCAUCCAUUAAACCAAGAAUGGGGAAAAUUGGCCAAAAUUUGCCUCUGGGAAGGGUCCUACUCUUCUGAAUUUGGUGGAAAUAAGAGUGAGAGGUGCCUAGAUUCUUAUCUCUGCACAGGACAAUAAAACAGCAGAUGAUCUGGUAACAGUGACAAGAACAAAAUCCCACCUACAACUUAAAAAACAUGAAGUGAAUGAUUCUUUCCCAUUAUGUGCAUAAUGAGGUAUUAAAUACAGUUCCCUGUGCUAUAAGGUAGGAACUCGGAUGGCUUUUUUCUGACACUGACUUGAAAAGCAUCCCUGAAGCAACCAGACAGAGCUGUUGUGAGAUUCAGGUUCCGCUGGAAGUCCAGCACGAUGACUGGGGAAGUUUCAGCUAGCUGUGGUGGUGGAAUGGCCCUCCCUCAAAACUAAGUGGUUAAAAAGAACUGUUGACUAUUACUGACAAGACAAUGCAUCCGCCGGAUGGACCCACUGAUCUGGGCUGAGCUCUGCCCACCUCCGCCGGGUUUACUGGCAUCCCUUUGGUCAGCCAGGGCCCCUUUGGCCAUGGCUGGGACACAUCAGCUUCGCUCCACGUGUCCUUUGAUCCUUCCCGCAGGUCAGUCUGGAUUUAUCCACAUGGCAGCGGCAAGGUUCCAACAGAGUGGAAGCAUGGAAGGUCUCUUAAGCUCCGGAGUCAACUGGAUCGUUGUCACUUUGACCUCAUUAUACCGUCAAAAGCAAGCCCAGAUUCCAGAGGAAGGGAAAUAGACAAUGCCUCCUGGUGGGAGGAGCUACCAACUCAUCUUGGAUGCAGGAGGGAAAGAAUUGAAGCCAGAUUUGCAUCCAUGUACCAAAGGGAACUUGAGUAUUCUCAGCUCACAUGGUAAACACCUUAUUUUUAGGGGGGAGAGUAGGAUAAAAAUAAAUGUUAUGUGUGAAAGAAGUUCCCAUACCCAAUUUGGAGACAAUCUGGUUUAUUAAAAUAGAAACAUCUCCCCCCAAUUUUCUUUUUUAGUUCUCUUAUUUCUACCAUUUGUUGACUAUUCCACCCACUGUAGAGAGAAGCUUUCAUAUUUAAUUUGUUUUUUGUUUUGUUUUGUUUUGAUUAUACUUGAAUUAUUUUUGGCUUUGUUUGUUAAUAUAUUAUUGUGGAAUUUAGGUUUCUUAAAACACGAGCAUAUUUUCUA